UACGUAGGGUGCAAGCGUUAUCCGGAAUUAUUGGGCGUAAAGAGCUCGUAGGCGGUCUGUCGCGUCGGCUGUGAAAACCUGGGGCUCAACCCCAGGCCUGCAGUCGAUACGGGCAGACUAGAGUCCGGCAGGGGAGACUGGAAUUCCUGGUGUAGCGGUGAAAUGCGCAGAUAUCAGGAGGAACACCGGUGGCGAAGGCGGGUCUCUGGGCCGGAACUGACGCUG
This 225-nucleotide ribosomal RNA is filed under the name uncultured bacterium. RNAcentral's name for it is "partial 16S ribosomal RNA". It matches the Rfam family "Bacterial small subunit ribosomal RNA", at positions 524 to 748 of the family's 1533-position model. The record is from RNAcentral.